RNAcentral lists this ribosomal RNA (247 nucleotides) under uncultured Acinetobacter sp. Its description in RNAcentral is "partial 16S ribosomal RNA". It matches the Rfam family "Bacterial small subunit ribosomal RNA", at positions 527 to 773 of the family's 1533-position model. Lineage: Bacteria; Pseudomonadati; Pseudomonadota; Gammaproteobacteria; Moraxellales; Moraxellaceae. The record is from RNAcentral.
AGAGGGUGCAAGCGUUAAUCGGAUUUACUGGGCGUAAAGCGUGCGUAGGUGGUCUUUUAAGUCGGAUGUGAAAUCCCUGAGCUUAACUUAGGAAUUGCAUUCGAUACUGGGAGACUAGAGUAUGGGAGAGGAUGGUAGAAUUCCAGGUGUAGCGGUGAAAUGCGUAGAGAUCUGGAGGAAUACCGAUGGCGAAGGCAGCCAUCUGGCCUAAUACUGACACUGAGGUACGAAAGCAUGGGGAGCAAAC